This 5738-nucleotide long non-coding RNA is filed under the name Sus scrofa (pig). RNAcentral describes it as "lncRNA (ENSSSCG00060074346.1)". Lineage: Eukaryota; Metazoa; Chordata; Mammalia; Artiodactyla; Suidae. The record is from RNAcentral.
UUUUUUUUUUUGUCUUUUUGCCAUUUCUUGGGCUGCUCCCUCGGCAUAUGGAGGUUCCCAGGCUAGGGGUCUAAUCAAGCUGUAGCCACCAGCCUACGCCAGAGCCACAGCCACGCAGGAUCCGAGCUGCGUCUGCGACCUACACCACAGCUCACGGCAACGCCGGAUCGUUAACCCACUGAGCAAGGGCAGGGAUCGAACCCGCAACCUCGUGGUUCCUAGUCGGAUUCGUUAACCACUGCGCCACGACGGGAACUCCUGCAGCACUGUUUAUAAUAGCCAAGACAUGGAAGCAACCUAAAUGUCAAUCAACAGAGGAAUAAAGAAGAUGUGGUGUGUGUGUAUAUAUAUAUAUAUAUGUAUAUAUAUAUAUAUACACACACAAUGGAAUAUUAUUCAGCCAUAAACAAGAACUGAAUAUGCCAUUUGCAGUAACAUAGAUGGACCUGGAGAUUUUCAGGCUAAAUGAAGUAAGUCAAACAGAGAAAGACAUAUAUACAAUAGCAUAUGGAAUUUGAAAAGAUGAUACAAAUGAACUUAUUAACAAAACAGAAACAGACUCAGACUCUGAAAACAAACUUAUGGUUACCAAAGGGGAAAGGUGGGGGCAGAGAGUUUGGGACUGGCACAUGCACACUAUUGUAUAUGGAACUGAUGGUCAACAGGGACCUGCUGUAUAGCACAGGGAACUCUACUCAAUAUUCUGUGAUAACCUAUAUAGGAAAAGAAUCUAAAAAAGAAUGGUUAUGUGUAUAUGUAUAACUGAAUCACUUUGCUGUACACCUGAAACUUAAUACAACAUGAUAAAUCAACUUACUUCAAUAAAAUUUUUUAAAAUAUAUGUAUUUACAUUGUGUUUUGAAAGUACAUGUUUUCCCAAAUAUAAAGGAAGGACAUAUAAAGUUAAGAAGUCUCAAAAGAAGCCUUAACCAUUCAGACUGCAUUUGUCAUGACUCUUAAGGUAGCAAAUAAAAGCCCAUCUCAUAAAAGCUUGGACAGGAGUUCCUGCCGUGAUGCAUCAGAAAUGAAUCCUCGACUAGGAAACAUGAGGUUUCGGGUUCGAUCCCUGGCCUUGCUGGGUGGGUAAAUGAUCCGGCGUUGUCGUGAGCUGUGGUGUAGGUCACAGGCACAGCUCAGAUCCCACAUUGCUGUGGCUCUGACGGCGAUAGCUCCAAUUAGACCCCUAGCCUGGGAACCUCCAUAUGGCCACAGGUGCGGCCCUAAAAGGACAAAAGACAAAAAAAAAAAAAAAAAAAAAAAAAGCCUGGACAGGAGUUCCCAUCGUGGCUCAGCAGUUAGCGAACCCAACUAGGAUCCAUGAGGAUGUGGGUUCAAUCCAUGGCCUCCCUCAGUGGGGUAAGGAUCUGGCAUUGCCACUGAGCUGUGGUGUAGGUUGAAGACUCAGCUCAGAUCCUGUGUUGCUGCGGCUUAGGCCAGCGGCUACAGUUCCUAUUCGACCCCUAGCGUAGGAACCUCCAUAUGCUGUGGGUGUGGUCCUAAAAGACACAGCCAAAAAUAAAAAGAAAAGCCUGAACAAAAAGGAGGAUACAUUAGCUCUCUUAACCAGUCUGGGAAGGACAGCAAAUGAAAUUAAAUCAGAAUCUGUUUCUUUUCUCUACUUCUCCAUCCAUCUAUACUUCAUUUUCUCCUUUAGACCAGCUUCAUACUAAAGCAGAGAAAGAGACUCUUCCCUGAGAGACACAUUUUGAAAAUCCUAGUGAAAGCUUCUGAUGGGCCUGUUUAUUGGGUCAUGAUGGGUGAGUGGAGGGGAGGGUGUGACUGGAAGUCCUCACCGGAAUCCCUUUUUGGAUGCAGAAAGAAGCAGUUCUCCAUUAGAGGCAAAUGCUGGGCAUACCAGAAAAUGGAUGGCCAUUACACAGAUUAUUAUUUUUUAAUCAGCCAUAUCUGAGAAAACAGAUUAGUCUCUUCCCAUCUCUCCCACUGAAUGCAACUAAGUCCUGGAUGGUGUGCAUGUAGCAUCUGAGGGCUCUGAAAAGUAAAACAGUGCUAGCAGAUGGAUUAGGGAAAGAAAUCUGAAUUUGAAGAAUGAAAGCAUGACCAUGAGUUUUCUUGGGUUUUGUUUGUUUUUAACAAAAAUGGAAAGUUUGCUCUUCAAGAGAUACUGUCAAGAUGAAAAGACAAGCUACUGACUGGGAACAAAUAUUUGUAAACCAUGUUUUCAACAAAGGACUGUAUCCAGAAUAUAUAAAUAACUAAACUCAACAAGAAACAAGCAAAUGAGUAAAAAGUGUGAAAAAACACUUCAUCAGAGAAAACAUAUAGAUGGCAAAUAAGUACAUGAAAUUUGCUCAACACUAGUAUCCAUUUUGGAAAUACAAAUUAAAAUUACAAUGAGAUAUUACUACUCAUCUAUUAGUGUGGCUGAAAUUAAACCAAAAACUGACAAAUGCUGGGCAUGGAUGUAGACCAAAUGGAAAUCUUGCAGAUGGAAAUGCAAAAUGAUAUAGUCACUCUGGAAGAGUCUGACAGUUCUUAUAAAUUUAAACAAAAUUUACGGAGUUCCCGUCGUGGUGCAUGGUUAACGAAUCCAACUAGGAACCAUGAGGUUGCGGGUUCAAUCCCUGGCCUCGCUCAGUGGGUUAAAAUUUACGGAGUUCCCGUCGUGGUGCAGUGGUUAACGAAUCCAACUAGGAACCAUGAGGUUGCGGGUUCAAUCCCUGGCCUCGCUCAGUGGGUUAACGAUCCGGCGUUGCCAUGAGCUGUGGUGUAGGUUGCAGACGCGGCUCGGAUCCCGCGUUGCUGUGGCUCUGGCGUAGGCCGGUGGCUACAGCUCCGAUUCAACCCCUAGCCUGGGAACCUCCAUAUGCUGCAGGAGCAGCCCAAGAAAUGGCAAAAAGACCAAAAAAAAAAAAAAAAUUACUAUAUGCCUCUGCAGUUCUACACCUAGGCACUUACCCUGGAUAAAUGAAAACUCGUGUUUACACAAAAUCCUAUAAAAUAACGUUUAUAACAGCCUGUUCAUAUCACCAAAAAUUGGGCACAAUCUAAAUGUCCUUCAAUGUAUGAACAGUAUGCCCCAAUACAGUGGAACACUACUCAAUAAUGUAAACGAAUAAACCACUGCUACUCAGUAACAUGGAUGAAUCGCAAAGGCACUAUCCUGAGUAAAAGAAACCAGUCCUGGAGUUCCCGUCGUGGCUCAGUGGUUAACUAGGAACCAUGAGGUUGAGGGUUCGAUCCCUGGCCUUGCUCAGUGGGUUAAGGACCCAGCAUUGCCAUGAGCUGUGGUGUAGGUUGCAGAUGCGGCUCGGAUCCCAUGUUGCUGUGGCUCUGGUGUAGGCCAGCAGCUACAGCUCCGAUUGGACCCCUAGCCUAGGAACCUUCAUAUGCCGAGGUUGUGGCCAUAAAAAGGCAAAAAAAAAAAAAAACAAAAAAACCAAACCAAAACAAAAAAAGAAACCAGUCCAAAGGUUACAUACUACUGGAUUCCAUUGAUAUGAUAUUUCUUUCUUUCUCUCUCUUUCUCUCUCUCUCUCCCCACUCCCCUUCCUUCCUUCCUUUUAGGGCCACACCUGUGGCAUAUGGAAGUUCGCAGGCUAGGAGUUGAAUCGGAGCUGCAGCUGCCAGCCUAUACCAUAGCCACAGCAAGGUAGGCUCCAAACUGCAUCUGCGACCUAUACCACAGCUCACGGCAAUGCUGGAUUCUUUACCCACUGAAUGAGGCUAGGGAUCAAACCUGAAUCCUCACAGAUACUAAUCAGGUACAUAACCCACUGAGCCACCACGGGAACUCCCUAUGUGACAUUCUGAGAAAGGCAAACUAUAGGGAUGGGUAUUAGAUCAGUGACUACCAGGAGUUAGGAGUGUGGGCUGGAUUUUAUCACAGAGCAUGAAUGAUUUUUUGGAUACUGUCCUAUGUCCUCAUUGUAGUGGUGGUUACAUGAAUCCUAAAUUUGUGUUAAAACGCAGAAAUGUGUGUACACACAGAGAAGUUAAUUUCAUGUGUUAAUUAAAAUUUUUAAAGUGUCAAAAAUUAGUAAAAUAUAUUGGGUGGUUCACCUAAUUAGGAUUUUGUUCAACUGCAUUGAGAUAUAUAUAUAUGUAGAUACACAUAUAUAUCUACAUUCAUUAUCAUAACAGAAGCUCAAAUAAGAUAUUAUUUUUCUUUAACGCAAAAAGCAUCCUGUGUUCCAGGGCUAGAAUGAUGACUUCCUGGCCCUCAAGGAUCUUGCUCCUUCUAGCAGUGUGGUCUGCCACCCCUGAAGUAUGACACUCCCUCCCACACUCACAGUGCUUUGAGGCUGCUGGAGUUCAGCUGUUACAUCAGAGCUCCAGACAAGUUGGUGGAUGAAGGAAGGAAAAAGAGUUAUCUUUUCUUCCCUUUAGGAUUCUAACUGGAAGUUGUAUGCAACAUUUUUGCUUUUAUCUCACACGGACUAAAAUUUUCUCACAUGGCCAGAUCUAACUGCAAGGGAGAAGGGGAAUGUCAUUUAUCUGGGUGGCAGUGCAUGUUGGGUAGGGAUCAGGAAUCCAAUUCCAAGGAAGAAAAUGAGGCCAGUUUAAGUUUCUGCCACAGUCAUACAACUGCCAGCAAAUGCCAUGGACAGCUUCCCAAACUAAGUCUCAAAAUUGGUCCAGUACAGAUUCUGCUGCCCCUUACCCCCUACAUAAGUGCACCUAGAUCCUUCCCUGCACUGUAGUCAGUGUAGUCCUAAACAUUUUUUACCAGUCUCCUGGUGCUCCAUCUUUCUACUACUAUAGCCACAGUCUUCUUCUCCUGAGUCCCAGUCUGGCAAGGCCAAGUGUAAGGGGAGAGCCCAGGGCUCAGAAAAAGCUCGGAAAGCAAGCCACUGGCACUCUCAGUCUCUACAAGAGAAAAGAGACUCUGCUUCUCCUCAAGAUCCCUAACCUGAAGAACUCAAACAGACAAGAGGGUCAGAUGUAGAACAGCCUAAAAUAAUCUAGACUUUUUUACUCUUAAGUAUAAAUUUGUAAAUGCUGUAGUAGCGGUUUCAUCCAAAUGCUUUGGGAGCCCCGAGGAUAGGCUUCCAGCUCUGACUGGGGGUGCCAGGAAAGACUCUAUCCAAGGGAGCAUAUCCAAACUGAGUAGGAGUUUUGGGCAGAGAUCUUGGGUCUGUCAGAUUCUCAAGUCUGCCUCUGAAUCAGCUUACACUCUGUGAACAACCAUUAACACUUUUAUAUAAUGCUGCUCUAUUUUUGUGUAUUUUCAAAAGUAAAAAUGGGAUUGUUUCCUAUGGACUACUUUGCAAUCUGUUGUUUAAUUUAAUAAUAUUUAAUGAUUAUAUUUUUGUUUCAUCUACAAAAUCAUUUCUAAUGGUUGCAUUGCACUCCAUCAUAUGGAUCAUUUGGGGGAUAUGUUUUAAACGUUUAACACAGCAUGAGAAAGGCCAAGAAUACAAAAUGAAAUAUUGAUAAUCUUUUCAACAAAUGAUGUUGGGAAAACUGGAUCCUUAUGCAGAAAAAUAGAAAAGGACUCUUAUACCACACACAAAAGGCAACUCAAAAUGGAUUAAAGACCUCGGAGUUACCGUUGUGGCUCAGUGGUUAAUAAACCCAACUAGUAUCCAAGAGGAUACAGGUUCAAUCCCUGCCCUCACUCAGUGGGUUAAGGAUCUGGCAUUGCUGUAGGUUGUGGUAUAGGUUGCAGACGUGGCUCAGAUCCUGCUCUGCUGUGGCUCUGGCGUAGGCUGGCGGCUACAGCUCCAACUGGACCCCUAGCCUGGGAACCUCCAUAUGCCGUGGGUGCGGCCUUAAAA